Molecule: long non-coding RNA, 508 nt
Organism: Salvelinus namaycush (lake trout)
Lineage: Eukaryota; Metazoa; Chordata; Actinopteri; Salmoniformes; Salmonidae
Exons: 4
Source: RefSeq, a predicted model, not a curated record
AAGUCCGUUUUGUGUACAUUUUCCGCUGUCUUUAUAGCGUUUAUUUAUUUAUUUUUCUAUGCACGGGAUUGUCACUUGAUCUCCGGGCUAAACUGCCUUUUGCACAGCCAGGACUGGACUUGGGGAAACAUUCGCAUAUGUCUAUUUCUUUCAUACAAUUACCGGAUUCUUUUUUAUUUUUAUUUAUCUAAACCUCCUGUGGCACAAGGAUGCGUUGAAAUAUAAUAGAUUUGAAUGCAAAGUGGAAUUUGCGCGACUCCCGGUUCCCGGUCGUGUGUUGAUUGUGAGGAAGAUCUCAUAUAGUUUGUGUGAUUUUGCUAAAAUGCAUCACCAACAGCGAAUGGCUGCCAUAGGGACAGACAAAGAACUGAGCGACUUACUGGAUUUCAGUGCGAUGCGAAACAGCGAUUUGAAAAUGUUCCCAACAUCAAUGAUGUUCUCUCCUCCUGUUAGUGGUAAACACGGACCAACCUCUCUGGGAAGUGGACAUUUUGCAGGCUCAAGUAUG